RNAcentral lists this long non-coding RNA (1586 nucleotides) under Equus caballus (horse). Its description in RNAcentral is "lncRNA (ENSECAG00000031548.3)". Lineage: Eukaryota; Metazoa; Chordata; Mammalia; Perissodactyla; Equidae. The record is from RNAcentral.
AAAAGAGGAAAUUUAGGGUUAAUUUUCCAACUCGCCAUGACAAUGGGGACUACUGAAGAGGAGAAAAUCCUAUUACUGUAUGGGACAGUGGGCGAGAGGUAAAGAUUAGCCCUCAGCUAACUACUGCCAGUCCUCCUCUUUUUGCUGAGGAAGCCUGACUCUGAGCUAACAUCCGUGCCCAUCUUACUCUAGUUUAUACGUGGGACGCCUACCACAGCAUGGCUGCCAAGCAGUGCCAUGUCCGCACCUGGGAUCCGAACCAGCAAACCCCAGGCCGCCGAGAAGUGGAACGUGUGAACUUAACCGCUGCGCCACCGGGCCGGCGCCCUGAACUGACAAUUUUUAACGUAUUUUGGUGUGUUCCUCGAGAUGGCGUUUUUGAAGAUUUCUAUAAUAAUUCAUAUUGCUAAUGUGUUUGGUCUCGCUGGGAAGCAGAUCAGCUCUGCAGAAUCUGCAUUGGCCGUGAUAACCUUACAAUGGCCCUCGUCUGAGGAAGCACCCGUCUCUUGAUGCUGUGUUCCCCUGCAGCCAAUACUCCAUUUCUCUGCUUCCUGUUAAGGAAAACUCUGGGAAAGGAUGUCCACUUCUCGCCUGGAACAACUCCAGCUUGCUGCAUCUUAUGGUUCAUUCUCAGUCCUCCUUUUGCUAGUCUCUCAGCAUCGUUUGACAUAGUGCAGCCCUUCUUCCUUCCCGAGACCCUUCCCUCUCGGGGCCUCUGUGAUGCCACGCUCUCCUACCUCACUGUCCCUUCCUCCUCCACUGCUGCAUCCUCCUCUUCCCGAGAGGAUGUCAUCCACUUCCUGCCUCAUUCUCUUAUCUCAUUAUUUACCUCUCUCUCUCUCUCUCUCUCUCUCUCUCGCUCUCCUCCAGCCAUUUGGCCUUGCUGACUCAUGGCUAGGAACACGUCAUGCUUUUCCUGCCUCGAAUCCUUGCUUUGCCCUCCGUCUAACACUUUCCCUCAGACAUCUGCAUGGCUAACUUUUUCUUUUCCUUCAGGUCUCCCCUCAGAUAUCAUCCCCCACCCCAGAGUCAUUUGCAAUUCUCUCACUGUGCUUUUUCUUUAAAGAAAUUAUCAUUAUCUGAGAUUAUAUAAUUAUUUGUGUACCCAUUUUGUCUGUCAACCCUGCUAGAUUGUAAGCUCCUUGAGGGUGGGGACUGGUCUAUCUUGUGCGUCGCUGUAUCCCUAAUGACAGGACCAGUGCCCGGCAUUUAGGAAGAACUCAAAGAUAUUUUAAUCAGGUAAUGCCUUUAUGUGCCCAGCAGCUUCGUGUGAAAUGACAAUGCUUUGUAUUAAUUUAUGUGUAGUAGCCACAGUCUUGAUUUUCUAAUUUUCAUUUUUUUUAGUUCUGCAGUGUCUACUUUAGACCUGAUAUAUGGAAUUUGUAAGCCCAGUCCUGCUUUUAUAGCCUUGUACAUUGUCUUUUCAGGUUUCCAUUUCCUCCUAUUCCUGUGUGUAUGUACUUUAAUGUAAUGUUUUACUUUGAAAUAAUGUGGACGUAUGCACAUACAUGUGUGAAUCUGCAGUGGUAUGUUUGGAUUAGUCAUGUGUGUUUUACCCUAGCACAGCACAUACACACACACUCACC